This 465-nucleotide ribosomal RNA is filed under the name Vreelandella stevensii. RNAcentral describes it as "partial 16S ribosomal RNA". It matches the Rfam family "Bacterial small subunit ribosomal RNA", at positions 338 to 795 of the family's 1533-position model. Lineage: Bacteria; Pseudomonadati; Pseudomonadota; Gammaproteobacteria; Oceanospirillales; Halomonadaceae. The record is from RNAcentral.
CCUACGGGAGGCAGCAGUGGGGAAUAUUGGACAAUGGGGGCAACCCUGAUCCAGCCAUGCCGCGUGUGUGAAGAAGGCCCUCGGGUUGUAAAGCACUUUCAGUGAGGAAGAACGCCUGGUGGUUAAUACCCAUCAGGAAAGACAUCACUCACAGAAGAAGCACCGGCUAACUCCGUGCCAGCAGCCGCGGUAAUACGGAGGGUGCGAGCGUUAAUCGGAAUUACUGGGCGUAAAGCGCGCGUAGGUGGCUUGAUAAGCCGGUUGUGAAAGCCCCGGGCUCAGCCUGGGAACGGCAUCCGGAACUGUCAAGCUAGAGUGCAGGAGAGGAAGGUAGAAUUCCCGGUGUAGCGGUGAAAUGCGUAGAGAUCGGGAGGAAUACCAGUGGCGAAGGCGGCCUUCUGGACUGACACUGACACUGAGGUGCGAAAGCGUGGGUAGCAAACAGGAUUAGAUACCCGUGUAGUC